Molecule: ribosomal RNA, 847 nt
Filed under: Dichotomopilus indicus
Lineage: Eukaryota; Fungi; Ascomycota; Sordariomycetes; Sordariales; Chaetomiaceae
Description: eukaryotic LSU rRNA
Rfam family: Eukaryotic large subunit ribosomal RNA
Source: RNAcentral
GCGGAGGAAAAGAAACCAACAGGGAUUGCCCUAGUAACGGCGAGUGAAGCGGCAACAGCUCAAAUUUGAAAUCUGGCCUCGGCCCGAGUUGUAAUUUGCAGAGGAAGCUUUAGGCGCGGCACCUUCUGAGUCCCCUGGAACGGGGCGCCAUAGAGGGUGAGAGCCCCGUAUAGUUGGAUGCCUAGCCUGUGUAAAGCUCCUUCGACGAGUCGAGUAGUUUGGGAAUGCUGCUCAAAAUGGGAGGUAAAUUUCUUCUAAAGCUAAAUACCGGCCAGAGACCGAUAGCGCACAAGUAGAGUGAUCGAAAGAUGAAAAGCACUUUGAAAAGAGGGUUAAAAAGCACGUGAAAUUGUUGAAAGGGAAGCGCUUAUGACCAGACUUGCGCCGGGCUGAUCAUCCGGUGUUCUCACCGGUGCACUCGGCCCGGCACAGGCCAGCAUCGGUUCUCGCGGGGGGAUAAAGGUUCCGGGAACGUAGCUCCUCCGGGAGUGUUAUAGCCCGGGGCGUAAUGCCCUCGCGGGGACCGAGGUUCGCGCAUCUGCAAGGAUGCUGGCGUAAUGGUCAUCAGCGACCCGUCUUGAAACACGGACCAAGGAGUCAAGGUUUUGCGCGAGUGUUUGGGUGUCAAACCCGCACGCGUAAUGAAAGUGAACGUAGGUGAGAGCUUCGGCGCAUCAUCGACCGAUCCUGAUGUUUUCGGAUGGAUUUGAGUAGGAGCGUUAAGCCUUGGACCCGAAAGAUGGUGAACUAUGCUUGGAUAGGGUGAAGCCAGAGGAAACUCUGGUGGAGGCUCGCAGCGGUUCUGACGUGCAAAUCGAUCGUCAAAUCUGAGCAUGGGGGCGAAAGA